Molecule: ribosomal RNA, 190 nt
Filed under: Galium aparine
Lineage: Eukaryota; Viridiplantae; Streptophyta; Magnoliopsida; Gentianales; Rubiaceae
Description: 5.8S ribosomal RNA
Rfam family: 5.8S ribosomal RNA (bases 5-160)
About the family: 5.8S ribosomal RNA (5.8S rRNA) is a component of the large subunit of the eukaryotic ribosome. It is transcribed by RNA polymerase I as part of the 45S precursor that also contains 18S and 28S rRNA.
Source: RNAcentral
AUACGACUCUCGGCAACGGAUAUCUAGGCUCUCGCAUCGAUGAAGAACGUAGCAAAAUGCGAUACUUGGUGUGAAUUGCAGAAUCCCGUGAAUCAUCGAGUUUUUGAACGCAAGUUGCGCCCGAAGCCAUUCGGCCGAGGGCACGUCUGCCUGGGCGUCACGCAUCUCGUCGCCACCCCCAAGCCCCCAU